This 253-nucleotide ribosomal RNA is filed under the name uncultured bacterium. Its description in RNAcentral is "partial 16S ribosomal RNA". It matches the Rfam family "Bacterial small subunit ribosomal RNA", at positions 524 to 776 of the family's 1533-position model. The record is from RNAcentral.
UACAGAGGGUGCGAGCGUUAAUCGGAAUUACUGGGCGUAAAGCGCGCGUAGGCGGUUUUGCAAGUCGGGUGUGAAAUCCUCAGGCUUAACCUGGGAACUGCAUUCGAGACUGCAUUACUAGAGUAUGGGAGAGGGAAGUGGAAUUUCCGGUGUAGCGGUGAAAUGCGUAGAUAUCGGAAGGAACAUCAGUGGCGAAAGCGACUUCCUGGACCAAUACUGACGCUCAUGUGCGAAAGCGUGGGGAGCAAACAGG